GUACAAUUGCUGUAUGAGCAAAUUAGGUCAGAUGCAGACCCUACCUUAACAUCGACUGCUCCUCAGCUCCAAGACCUUUCGAGCAGUUGCCCUCAGGAGGAGAUCUCUCAGCGGCAGGAAAGUGUCUCCGCCCUCUCUGCCAGCAUGCACCCUCAGCUUUCACCACAGCGAAGCUUGGAAACCCCGUACCUGCAGCACCGACUCCAGAAGCCCAGUCUUCUGCCAAAGGCCCAGAAUGCUUGUCCGAUGUAUUGUAAAGAACCACCUCGAAGCCUGGAACAGCAGCUACAGGAACACAGGCUCCAACAGAAGCGACUCUUCCUGCAGAAGCAGUCUCAGCUGCAAGCGUAUUUUAAUCAGAUGCAGAUAGCAGAGCGCUCCUACCCUGGACCAACUCAGCAGCUGGCUCUUCCCCACCCGGAGACUGCACCGACACCUCAGCAGCCCCCAUCCUUCAGCCUGACCCAGGCCCUCAGCCCUGUCCUGGAACCCUCUUCUGAGCAGAUGCGAUUUAGCUCUUU
This 521-nucleotide long non-coding RNA is filed under the name Rattus norvegicus (Norway rat). RNAcentral describes it as "long non-coding RNA NONRATT028556". Lineage: Eukaryota; Metazoa; Chordata; Mammalia; Rodentia; Muridae. The record is from RNAcentral.